RNAcentral lists this ribosomal RNA (465 nucleotides) under Vreelandella stevensii. RNAcentral's name for it is "partial 16S ribosomal RNA". It matches the Rfam family "Bacterial small subunit ribosomal RNA", at positions 338 to 795 of the family's 1533-position model. Lineage: Bacteria; Pseudomonadati; Pseudomonadota; Gammaproteobacteria; Oceanospirillales; Halomonadaceae. The record is from RNAcentral.
CCUACGGGCGGCUGCAGUGGGGAAUAUUGGACAAUGGGCGAAAGCCUGAUCCAGCCAUGCCGCGUGUGUGAAGAAGGCCUUCGGGUUGUAAAGCACUUUCAGUGGGGAAGAAAGCCUUGGGGCUAAUACCCUCGAGGAAGGACAUCACCCACAGAAGAAGCACCGGCUAACUCCGUGCCAGCAGCCGCGGUAAUACGGAGGGUGCGAGCGUUAAUCGGAAUUACUGGGCGUAAAGCGCGCGUAGGCGGUCUGAUAAGCCGGUUGUGAAAGCCCCGGGCUCAACCUGGGAACGGCAUCCGGAACUGUCAGGCUAGAGUGCAGGAGAGGAAGGUAGAAUUCCCGGUGUAGCGGUGAAAUGCGUAGAGAUCGGGAGGAAUACCAGUGGCGAAGGCGGCGUUCUGGACUGACACUGACGCUGAGGUGCGAAAGCGUGGGUAGCAAACAGGAUUAGAUACCCUAGUAGUC